Molecule: long non-coding RNA, 241 nt
Filed under: Elaeis guineensis (African oil palm)
Lineage: Eukaryota; Viridiplantae; Streptophyta; Magnoliopsida; Arecales; Arecaceae
Description: long non-coding RNA (EGUI_LNC079730)
Source: RNAcentral
UGCUGUCCCCUGCCAGUCUGCCACCUCUCUUCUCAUGAGGGCCCAUAAUGCAGUUGAAAUCAUCGAUGAUGAGGGACGGCUGACCCUGCAACAUCAGCCUGCAAAUCUCGACCCAAAGCACCCUUCGCUCCCUGUAGUCGGUGCUCGCAUAAACGACAGAAAGUAGCUAAGGUCCACCAGUCUGCUUUGAGAUGAUCAAAGCCACCUGCUGCUCACAUCUGUGAAAAGCAUCCAUCCUGAU